Molecule: RNA transcript, 1037 nt
Organism: Pipra filicauda (Wire-tailed manakin)
Lineage: Eukaryota; Metazoa; Chordata; Aves; Passeriformes; Pipridae
Gene: MTRFR
Gene name: mitochondrial translation release factor in rescue
Exons: 3
Source: RefSeq, a predicted model, not a curated record
AGUAAACUCCACUCUCCACUUCCAUUCCAGGUUUCAUCCCAGAGAAGCCUGUCCUCACUCCUGUAUGAAUAUUCCAGGUUUCUUUCAUUUUCCAUUCUUACUGAGAGAAUUGUCAGCAUGGACCCCCUGGAUUUUGAGGAAGCAGCAGCUUUCCCUGCCCAGCAUUCCCAUGCUUCAGGCAGCAAGAAAGAGGAACUCCCUGAAUCUCCUUGGACUCACUGAGGCAGAACUGGAAGAACAGUUUGUGAGAGGUGAUGGCCCAGGGGGUCAAGCCACAAAUAAGACAAACAACUGUGUUGUCCUGAAGCAUAUUCCAUCUGGGAUUGUAGUGAAGUGUCAUCAAACAAGAUCAGUGGAGAAGAACAGAAAGAUUGCCAGAGAAAUCCUGCAGGAAAAAGUUGAUCUUUUCUACAAAGGUGAAGAGAGUGAUGUUUAUAAAGAGAAAAAAGCAUCAGAGAAGAAGAAGCAGGAGAAAAAAAGAAGAGCAAAGGAAAACCUGGAAAGGAAAAAGCUUUUUAAAGAGGUGCAACAACUGGAUAAGAAAUGAACAUGUGAAAUACUGACUUGCCCUAGUGGGGUAAGGGAAAUGUGUCAUUAGACCUGAACACACCUUUCAGACUAACACGAUGUGGGGCUUCAGAGGCACAGCUGAAACACCCAGUGCUGACCUGCUGUUGCUGUAAAGGGAUAAAAGCACUCAGCACCCUCAGCAGCUGCCACCAAGUUUUGGCCUUCACCAAAGACCCAAAGCCAGAGUAUGGAUUUUGAAAACAGAGACCCUGAACUCCACCUCCUUUUCCCAGAGACUGACUGCAUCCCAACGGUGCCAUGGAUGGAAACUCAGCAGCAAACUGCAGCCCCUUCCCUUGUCCUUUCCUGAACUCCUGCAUGAAGGUUCAAUUUUUAUCUGUUUGACAGUUCUUGUUUGUGGAGUGUGAAUCUGAUUAAAGUGACUGUACAUAGUUUUAAUACAAACUGUUAAUGAAAAUAAGCUUUAUUACGUCAAGUAAUAAAUACAUACAAAGAUGCAAAUAACA